Molecule: ribosomal RNA, 486 nt
Filed under: uncultured bacterium
Lineage: Bacteria
Description: bacterial SSU rRNA
Rfam family: Bacterial small subunit ribosomal RNA
Source: RNAcentral
AGGGUUCGAUUCUGGCUCAGGAUAAACGUUGGCGGCGUGCCUAAUGCAUGCAAGUCGAGGGACGAAUCUGGCUUCGGCCAGUUGAAACCGGCGAACGGGUGAGUAACACGUACCUAUCUACCUUUAAGUGGGGGACAACUUCGGGAAACCGAAGCUAAUACCGCAUGAUGUCGUAAGACCAAAGCCUUCGGGCGCUUUUAGAGGAGGGUGCGUCAGAUUAGCUAGUUGGUAGGGUAAUGGCCUACCAAGGCAAUGAUCUGUAGCUGGUCUGAGAGGACGGUCAGCCACACUGGGACUGAGACACGGCCCAGACUCCUACGGGAGGCAGCAGCAAGGAAUUUUCCGCAAUGGACGAAAGUCUGACGGAGCAACGCCGCGUGAAGGAAUAAGGCCUUAGGGUCGUAAACUUCUUUUGUGAGGGAAGAGGAUCUGACGGUACCUCACGAAUAAUGCACGGCUAACUACGUGCCAGCCGCCGCGGUAAUU